This 24-nucleotide non-coding RNA is filed under the name Arabidopsis thaliana (thale cress). The record is from RNAcentral. Lineage: Eukaryota; Viridiplantae; Streptophyta; Magnoliopsida; Brassicales; Brassicaceae.
GGUGGCGGGCGCCUCAGUCGAGGU